AGUGAACGCCGGCGGUAGGCCUAACACAUGCAAGUCGAACGGCAGCACAGUAAGAGCUUGCUCUUACGGGUGGCGAGUGGCGGACGGGUGAGGAAUACAUCGGAAUCUACUUUUUCGUGGGGGAUAACGUAGGGAAACUGACGCUAAUACCGCAUACGACCUACGGGUGAAAGCAGGGGAUCUUCGGACCUUGCGCGAUUGAAUGAGCCGAUGUCGGAUUAGCUAGUUGGCGGGGUAAAGGCCCACCAAGGCGACGAUCCGUAGCUGGUCUGAGAGGAUGAUCAGCCACACUGGAACUGAGACACGGUCCAGACUCCUACGGGAGGCAGCAGUGGGGAAUCUUGGACAAUGGGCGCAAGCCUGAUCCAGCCAUACCGCGUGGGUGAAGAAGGCCUUCGGGUUGUAAAGCCCUCUUGUUGGGAAAGAAAAGCAGCAGGUUAAAACCCCGCUGUUCUGACGGUACCCAAAGAAUAAGCACCGGCUAACUUCGUG
This 492-nucleotide ribosomal RNA is filed under the name uncultured bacterium. RNAcentral's name for it is "partial 16S ribosomal RNA". It matches the Rfam family "Bacterial small subunit ribosomal RNA", at positions 29 to 507 of the family's 1533-position model. The record is from RNAcentral.